This 448-nucleotide ribosomal RNA is filed under the name uncultured bacterium. RNAcentral's name for it is "bacterial SSU rRNA". It matches the Rfam family "Bacterial small subunit ribosomal RNA", at positions 329 to 794 of the family's 1533-position model. The record is from RNAcentral.
GUCCAGACUCCUACGGGAGGCAGCAGUGGGGAAUAUUGCACAAUGGGGGAAACCCUGAUGCAGCGACGCCGCGUGAGCGAUGAAGUAUUUCGGUAUGUAAAGCUCUAUCAGCAGGGAAGAAGAUGACGGUACCUGGCUAAGAAGCCCCGGCUAACUACGUGCCAGCAGCCGCGGUAAUACGUAGGGGGCAAGCGUUAUCCGGAUUUACUGGGUGUAAAGGGAGCGUAGACGGCGAUGCAAGCCAGAUGUGAAAGCCCGGGGCGCAACCCCGGGACUGCUCUUGGAACUGCGUGGCUGGAGUGCAGGAGGGGCAGGCGGAAUUCCUGGUGUAGCGGUGAAAUGCGUAGAUAUCAGGAGGAACACCGGUGGCGAAGGCGGCCUGCUGGACUGCAACUGACGUUGAGGCCCGAAAGCGUGGGGAGCAAACAGGAUUAGAUACCCCCGUAUC